RNAcentral lists this ribosomal RNA (433 nucleotides) under uncultured bacterium. RNAcentral describes it as "partial 16S ribosomal RNA". It matches the Rfam family "Bacterial small subunit ribosomal RNA", at positions 29 to 507 of the family's 1533-position model. The record is from RNAcentral.
AACGAACGCUGGCGGCAUGCCUAACAAAUGCAAGUCGAACGCAACCUUCGGCACUAUUGGCGUACGGGUGCGUACCCCGUUGUAACCUGCCCUUUGGUUCGGAAUCCCUCCCCGAAAGGGGUGCUAAUCCCGCAUAAUCUCCUCGGACCAAAGAUUUAUCGCCUUUGGCUGGGCCCGCGUUGGAUUGGCUAGUUGGUAGUGUAAAAGCCUAUCAAGGCGCCGAUCCAUAGCUGGUCUUAGAGGAUGAUCCGCCACACUGGGACAGGGACACGGCCCAGACUCCUAGGAGAGGCAGCAGUGGGGAAUAUGGGAAUAUGGGCGAUAGACUGGUACUGCAAGGCCGGGUGGGUGAAGAAGGCCUUAGGGUUGUAGAGCUCGUUUACGCGUGAUGUUAAUGACAGUACCGGGAGAAUAAGCCCCGGCUAACUACGUG